GAUGAACGCUGGCGGCGUGCCUAAUACAUGCAAGUCGAGCGAACAGACGAGGAGCUUGCUCCUCUGACGUUAGCGGCGGACGGGUGAGUAACACGUGGAUAACCUACCUAUAAGACUGGGAUAACUUCGGGAAACCGGAGCUAAUACCGGAUAAUAUAUUGAACCGCAUGGUUCAAUAGUGAAAGACGGUUUUGCUGUCACUUAUAGAUGGAUCCGCGCCGCAUUAGCUAGUUGGUAAGGUAACGGCUUACCAAGGCAACGAUGCGUAGCCGACCUGAGAGGGUGUUCGGCCACACUGUAACUGAGACACGGUCCAGACUCCUACGGGAGGCAGCAGUGGGGAAUCUUCCGCAAUGUGCGAACGCCUGACGGAGCCACGCCGCGUGAGUGAUGACGGUCUUCGGAUCGUAAAACUCUGUUAUUAGGGAAGAACAAAUGUGUAAGUAUCUAUGCACGUCUUGACGGUACCUAAUCAGAAAGCCACGGCUAACUACGUG
This 497-nucleotide ribosomal RNA is filed under the name uncultured bacterium. RNAcentral describes it as "partial 16S ribosomal RNA". It matches the Rfam family "Bacterial small subunit ribosomal RNA", at positions 28 to 507 of the family's 1533-position model. The record is from RNAcentral.